AGCAUAUCAUUUAAAAUCUUUUUUCUUGUAAAGAAGAUGAACAUUAGACAAAAUACUACUAUCUGAGCUGGAAAAAAACUUUGACUGAAUUCCAUGGUACAUGCCUAUUCAGGCUGAAUAAUUCCUCUUCACUUAGAGAGGAUGCCUUCAAUAGCUCAUUUUAGGAUAGAAAUGGAAAACGGGAAAGGCUGAUGCAUUUAUAUUCACAUAACCAAGCCUAAAGUCAGGGCAGUUAUGACAAGUUUGAAGAUCAUCCAUCAGAAGUGAAUGAACAAAUUAAAAAAAUUUUAAACAGUGAAUGAAAUGGAAGGGUUUGUUGCCAGACUCAAGUCCAUCUGCUCUCCAAUCAAAAGCCAAUACUCAGAAGCUGAGAGUUUGGUAGCAGGAAAUCAGAUAUAUUUAAGGACUCUUGCCCUGAGAAGAAUGGACGGGGACCUCAAAAAAGACCAUCUUGGGGUAACUCAUGUACAUGGAAGGGUUUUUAUAGAGAGGGAAAGGAACUACGUGGAGAAUGGGCAGGAAGGCUACCUGCUGAGUGAGAUUUUCAUCAUCCAGGAUGUCUCCUUCCAUUUCCCUCUAGCUAGAACAUCACAACUGACGACCUCCUGGGGCUACUUCCUGUAAUUCCUUCUCCACCUUCUCCUCCUCCUUCUCAUUCUUCUUUUUAUCUCAAUACUGAGGACUGAACCCAGGGCCUCACAAAUGCUGGGUUGCUACAAAUGCCAAGUAAGAAAGGAGUGGAAAUGCCAUGGGAUCAGAUUCUCCUGAAGUGGGAUCAAGCAGGACAGGUGCUGAGAACUGGGUCUCUGCAGCUGACCACCCCUUGUCUACUCUGUUGGCUAUGUUGCUACUCAUACCAAGUCAGGGUUCCGCCAGCGAGAAAUGAGGAAAUUGUUUUCGGUUAGGAAACAAACACUGUCUUCCACCCAUCCCAGUAUAUUCACAUCUGAUUGAUUUUCUCUGUGUGAGGACCUUUUAAAUCAUGACGUUUCAUCUUUCUUUCUUAUAAGCUACAGAGUCCUUAGGAAAGAAAAAGAAAUUUUGGGAAAAUAGAAAUAAAAAUCAAAGGAACAACAACUUCUCUCUCUUGAGCAUUGAUGUAAGGGGGCAACCAGAGUUUCCACUCCGAAAUAUGAAGGGUUAUUCAGCUGAAGUUAAGAAGCAGAGUUUUGGAAGCUCUGUGCCCUCCUAAAAGUAGGACAUAAAUUCAUGAAGACCAGAGGUAUCCUUCCCACCCUCCUUCCAGCAGAAACCAAGGUUAACACUGAAGACAGCUUAGAUCCUUGUACGUCUGGAAGUAGUAGCAGAGGAAUCCACAUCAGCAAACUUUACUGACCUUUAUAUGUCACGCAUUUGCGGUACCUAGAGACUCAACACCCUUUUCCUUUGUCAUGUCACUUCUCUAAAAAAUUUGUUGCAGUUGCUAUAUAAACUGGACUUCAAGACCACCACUUCGAGCCACUACUUCUUCUCUGGGUGUUUCCCGUGAAUAUAUUGUCAAAGGACAAGAAUAUUAAGUAGCUUGAAGAUCUGAAUUGGCUUUAUUUUCAAUUCUAGAAAAUAGAAUUUUUGUGAAAUAAAAUUUUUCCAAUGGGCCAAGCAGAAGAGUUCGAUUUUUAUAGACAGAGAAGAACUGAAAAAGCCAGGGCUUCUUGGAGAAAUGCCUGAUUCUGAGACUGGCCCUCAGAAAAUUUAAACCUGGAAUAUCUUGUAGCACCAGAAAGUAACGAAGUGCUCCCUUCUUGGCCCCUCCACAAAAGCAUGGUAUCAUGUCUAAGGAACACAAGAGCCAAACUGAAGAAACUCAAAAGGCUGCAGCUGGAACAACUUGAACAAUAAAGUAAAUAAUGUAGCACAGGAGCACAAACAAAAGAAUACAGUAAGCAGUUAUGUGUCUAUACUGAUGGAAAUCCAUGACUGAAUGAGUGAGGAAUGGAGGUAAAGGGGCAAAUAUUUCAGAAGAAUUACAGAUGAUCUAUGGAGAUAUCCCCAUCCAGAAGGUGGAGUCUAGUUCUCUUUGCUCCUAUUUUUGAAUUAGUGAUUUAUUUUCAAAGAAUGCAAAGGUAAUAGCAAUUGCCCAAUGGAGAAAACUGGCAAGUACUACCCUAACAGAAGGGUGAAGGUUAACAUCACAGGUGACGCCACGGGACUCUCACCUAUUCCCUGAUGGGACAUAAUGAAAAGGGCAUUUCAACUCUGUGUGAUUUUCAAAGACCCAUUAACUCAACCUAAUCUAAAGAAAAACAUCAGAUAAACACAAUUUGAAGGACAGUCUACAAAAUAUUAGACUAGUACUCUUGAACACUUUCGAACAACUAAAAUAACUAAAGUCAGAAGCUGUCAGAGGCCGGAGACGAUAAGGAGAAGAAACCAACAAACUGCCUUCCAAAGUGGCUGUACCGUUUUGCAUUCUCACCAGUAAUAAAUGAGAGUUCCUGUUGAUCUUCGGCAGCAGCAUUUGGUGUUGUCUGUGUUCUGCAUUUUGGUCAUUUAAACAGUCUCCUCCUUUCAUCUUUCCGUAAAGGUCAACAACAUCUGGUGAUGUCCCCCUCUCACCCUCAUGGAAGACACUAGUCCCUCAGGGCCUCUUCCAUAUCAAACAGGACCUAAUGAAAACACUGCGGUGCUUGCCUGACCCUCUCACUGCCUAAACACAUCAUACUACCAUUUUGACUUUACUGCAAUUGAGAAUGUAGGAAACAAGGAGCUCCAAAAGGAUCGCCAAGCAAAGAAGAACAAGAUAAAAGAGAAUCUGGGCAGGGUUGCAAAGAUGAUUUCAAGAGACAAGAUGUAUAAAACAGACCUCACUGGGCAAACUGUGAACACUGAACAGAUGUUAUUAUUAACCGCUGGAUGUGGCAAUCCUGAGUACCCCACUGUAAGCCUUCUUCUUGGGGAGACUAAGAACAACAGAAAAUCAUUAGAGCAUCUCCUACUGAGCCAUCUGGCAUUGUUUUUCAGCUGCACAUCCUGGGGACUCACUAGGGCCAUAAAAUAAAGGAAGCAAUAAUUCUCUUCUGACCACUCAACUGCUAAAAUGAAGGGACCUGAAAUUUUACACUCUCUUGGAUAAUACAGAGAAAGCCUUGUAAUCAGUGUCUUGCUGUUUUGCCCAGUCUAACCUCAAAACCCCUGGGAUCAAGCGAUCUUCCUGUCUCAGCCUCCUGAGUAGUCCCAGCAGAUGUGGUGUUUGUACAGAUGAUAGACAGCUAACCAAGCUUGAGUGGCGUUCUGGUGAGACUGGGAUCAAGAUCUUUCAAAGCUCCACUCCAUCUUAGAAGAUGCUGCUGAGAGUCUGCUAUGAGCUUCGGCAACACUCAUUUCUAAGAUCCUGGAAUAUGUUUCGUUUUUGCCUGGAAUAAAGGCUUUAUUUACAUCCUGGACUUUGAGAUUU
This is a long non-coding RNA of Sciurus carolinensis (gray squirrel), 3394 nucleotides long. RefSeq lists it as uncharacterized. The record is from RefSeq and is a predicted model, not a curated record. The transcript is spliced from 11 exons. Lineage: Eukaryota; Metazoa; Chordata; Mammalia; Rodentia; Sciuridae.